This is a long non-coding RNA of Ochotona princeps (American pika), 988 nucleotides long. RefSeq lists it as uncharacterized. The transcript has 3 exons. NCBI's taxonomy places the organism in Eukaryota, Metazoa, Chordata, Mammalia, Lagomorpha, Ochotonidae. The record is from RefSeq and is a predicted model, not a curated record.
GAACAUGUGGGGCUUUCUCUGCAGACCCCCUGCUCCUCAACACGGGGAAGCCAGGCUGCCUAGCAGUCCGGGAGCUGGUGAAAUGGAAUCUGUCAACAGGUCUACAAGGGGCUCUGGAUGAUUUGCACAAUCUGCAAACAAGACUGGGAGCCUACCACUCUGAAGGAAGCACUCUCUCAUUGCCUCUUGGUGAAGUGUAUUGAGAAGUCAGAUCUGCCAAUGGAAAAUGGGUUGUUCUUGCUUUUAACCAGGACAAGAAUCAAGGAGGAGUAGCCCCAGCAGCAGAAUGACUGGGUUCACAUCCUUGCACCUCCACUCUCUGACUGGACCAUGCGACUGAGCAAGCUAUAUACCAUAAAGCUGGAAAGUGGACAAUAAUGAAAGAUCCACUUCGCAGCAUCAGCAUGGGGACUGGGUGAAUAACGUAGUGAGGCAAGCUUCCUAAAGCAGUAUCUGGCUGGCAGUCAGUGCUAUGCAAGGGUUUGCACCUUAUAUUCUACUCAUUGGAUGUUCCUGGGUUCAAGUUUCAUGCAAAACUUAGUAACCCUUCCUGGAGGCUCCAGCUCCCCCUCUGCAAGUGGGAAUGUUUACACCCAUUUCCAAAAGAUGUCCAGGGGUGUUGGUGUCAAGAUGCAAACAAAAUAUGGACUUGGCACAUCAUUAGUGACCAACAUCAAUAUUAACGUUGAUGAUUAGUAAUAUUUAUCAUUUUGACUAAUUUAUAUUUUGAUUUGGAAGAUUCAGGUAUAAGAGAAAGUAGCUGCUUUCUGUUGAACCCAGUCUUUCUAGCUGCCCUUUCUAUGUUUGAGUGCAUUUGUAUGUUUGAGAGCUGGGUCAUGUCAUAGAAGAAAAUGUACAAAGACAGCUCUGGGUUCCUGGAGGAGAUCCAAGUGUAGCUGCCUGGGGCCUACAUUUCUCUUAAUUAACUAUCAGAGCACAUUUUGUAGGGUCUUUAUUUUUCCCUGUUUUCAGGUCCAAGGCACAAUAG